CUAGAUUUUGUCCUUGAACAUGGAGAAUGAUAAGCAGAUAGGCUCCAAGCAAUCGCUCACAAACUCUCAGUCGAGUCAUUGUUCACUGUUAAUCCUUCCUGUGCAAGGCAAGUGGCCCUUCUGCUUGACAAUCGUUAAGCUUAGUCUGUUUGGUGAAGCCUAAUACAAGACUGCAAGGAUGAUUCUGUAACUCUUCCAACUUCGUUUCCUUACUUUGAAUUAAGAAACUGAAUGAAACUAUACUGUACUUCAAGCUUCCUCCAGACUGUUUUCAUCUGUACUUCCACUUCAUUAGUUCAAAGGUGGUAUUAUGGAAACGCAUAUUUCUAUUAAUCGCUCCUGGGGGCUCCUCAUCCUCUGCGGCGGGAGAGAAGGCGAAGCAGGAGAAAGCCGCUCCCGCUGCGCUACACAGGCCGCGCCCGGGACCCCGACGGCUCCUGGGAGACGGGAGCGAGGGCGGCCGAGCGCCGGGAGGGGGAGGGCGGGGCGGGGCGGCUCGGCGCAGGCUCUCUCCCCGGCAGGCGCUCCCGACGCCCGGCGCGUCCCUGCGGAGCGGGCGGGCGGGGCGGGCCGGAGCCGGAUUCCAAUCACGGCACCCGUCGAGCCCGGUCGCGCGCACGGCGGAGGGCGGGGGAGAGCGGGGACGCGCGCGCAGCAGAGGCAGCGCCAACGGCCGCCGUUGAGAGGCGUGAGGCCGCCCCUCGGAGCCCUCCCGCUUUCCCCGGCCUUCCAUCCACACGUGCGCCGGGCGGGGCACACCGGGAAAAAGUUGGCCGCUUUCCCUCCCCCGUAGCUCGUCUCCCGAGCGGUAGCGCAGGCCGCAGCUAGCCGCCGCCUGAGGCUCCGCGCACCGCUGGCCGAAGGGCCGUCGAGCAGAGCUUUCCCGGUGAAAUAGGCGCGGCCGCUCCUGUAGGAGGCGCCAGAGAGGCACGAGGGCGCGGCGGCGUGCUGGGGAGGCGGGGUGAUGGCAGCUGCUUUGUGUGAUGGGAGUUGGGGCAGGCGGGUGGCGGUGGCUGCUGCCCGUGGAAAAAGGAGGGCCUUACACCGGUCCUUUAGCUCUGUGGAAGAAUAGUUCUCACAGGCUUGACGUCCCAGUGCCUUAUGAGAGUGCCAUUACAAUGAACAGAACUGCUUUUUUUUUUUUUUCCAUUUCCUGUUUCUCUAAAUAAACAAAGCUAGUUAGAUUGGAAUACAUUAUAACUUCUGCAGCGAGCUUCUCUGCUCGCUGAUAAGGUUGCUAAAGGCUAUGAUUUGCAUGGCAUUUCCGAGCUCCUCGUCAUUAGGACACGUUACCAACGUAACAAUUUGUCUGUCUGUCUCCCAGCAGCAGCGCAGAAGGUGCCUUAGGAACGCUGUGCCAUGGGGUGAGCAGCCUGCGUGGGCCGAACCUGUCACUCAACAGGGUGGCAGCGACUAAGGAUGUGGUCCCAUUACAUGGUUCUGCGCCAAGAACUUUGUGCACAGGGCCAACCAUAGAGGGAAAGUAAGACCAUAUGAGAAACUAGGACCACGCUAACCUGCUCGCUUUCCCUUUGCUAUUGACCAAGACACCCUUCAGGCCAUUUGCCUGCCCAGAUAAGCUGUUUUUAGAACGUAACCAAUUGGGAAGCAAUCUCGCUUAGCCACAUGCGUGUAUGAUGUGGGAAACCCUGCUUUGCUCAUUGUGCUGACCUCUACACGGUCCAGCUCCGUUUUUGUCUGCUAGUGUCAUAUAGAGUUUAUGUUGUCCCAUUUGUGUAAGAUGAGCGCAUUGGCUCUGUAAUAUAGUUCACAUGUGUUGUACAUGUGGAUUGUUAGGUAACUGCUUAGCUUGCAUUCUAUCCCAUAUAGUAAAACAAAGGAGGAAGUCCAUUCAAACCUAUCUGCUUUGCAGACUCCUUUAAAACACAGGCAAUUAAAGGCACACCUAGUAAGUGUAGGUGGCCAGAUACUACAGAGAAAGGCAUUAAAAAAUGCAGGACUUGCAUUACUAGACUUGUAGAAAAUUUUUUCCGAUGAGCCAGAAAAAAAUGUCAGUGUCCAAGACAAAGACAGCCAAGAAAGACAAAAUCACAGUGCUCAUGCCAAGCAAUACAGAACUUGUGUGCUUAUGUUUAUAAUUUCAAAGGAAAAUAUGAGUCUGCUGUUCCUCCACUCGGUCUACUAUCAGAUUAUAGCAACAGAAUAGACACUCAAUAUGGAAGAAGAAUGCAACAUGCAUGUGUGUGCUCCCAAGCAGAACCAAAGCUGCUAGAGCUAGCAUCUCUUUCAGUAAUAAUCUGUGUGGCAAUACAGUCCUGCAUUUUUCAGAUGUUGGAUAGUGAUUUAAAUCCAUUAUGCCUGAAUUCAGCAAAAGCCACUAGCCUUGAAAUUUGGUUUUGAGCCCGCUUAUGAAAUAGACCAGCUAUUUUCAUCGAAUUUCUCAUAAGUAAUUUUGCAAAUCGCAGAAACUGCUCUGUAAACUGAUACUGUUAAAAGCGCUCAGGCACUGAGGGUAUCUCAGGCGACAGUCCCUGUCACAUCAGGAAUUGUGCUGCUGAGGAUUUGGUUUGCUCUACCCUGCCAGUAUGCCUAUUCAUGGCAUAAAUAAGGAGCAUCAGGCUGUGUAAAUACUAGUCUUAAUCACAAAAUAAAUUCAGUAAAAAUAAACUACAUUUUAAUAAUAUUAGGCCUGCAGAAGACAGCUUAAUCUUAAUCUGAAAUGAUGAAUCAUAACAACCUUGAAGGGUAUUUGCAUCACAGUAUUGUGCUGGUUGUCUGAUGAAACAUCACUUGGAAAGUACUGUAUUUUUCAAAACAUACAGUAUGAUAGAAUCAUGGAAUUGCUCAGGUUGGAAAAGACCUUAAAGAUCAUCACAUCCAACCACAACCUAACCAUCCUACCCUAACUCUAACAACCCAUAGCUAAAUCAUGUCCCUGAGCACCACAUCCAAACGGUUUUUAAAGACGUCCAGGGAUGGUGACUCAAACACCUCCCUGGGGAGCUCAUUCCUUAAUUCGCUUAACAACCCUUUCUGUAAAGAAGUGUUUCCUGAUAUCCAACCUAAAAUUACCCUGGCACGACUUGAAGCCAUUUUCCCUCAUCCUGUCACCUGUCACCAGUCAGAAGAGACCAACCCUGCUCUCGCUGUAAGCACCUUUCAGAUAUCAGAAGAGAGCAAUAAGGUCUCCCCUCAGCCUCCUUUUCCCCAGACUAAACAGCCCCAGUUCCUUCAGUCUCUCCUUGUAGGGCAUAUUCUCCAAGUAUCUACCAUAUGGUUUCAAUUUCAUAAGAUAUAAACUUUUUUGAAACAUAUGGAUUAACAACAAAAGUAUGAAAACUAUAUGAUUAGACUAAAAUUCCUUGUUUACAUUCAUAUAGCAGUCUGUAUGUGAGAAGGAGUUUGUUGACCAAUGCUAAUGUGUUAGGUGAUGCAGUAGGGUGAUGGAAGCAUUUUCUUUAUGUGCUGCCUAAAGAACUUGGUUGUAUUUCCCUUAAUGAAAGUAACUGUGGAAGUUUAACUUCAGAAAGAAUCAAACCCGUUUUGUUUUGACCUGCCUUGUUUACCUUGCAGGAAAGGUAGCGAUACCUGUUUAAAUCAAAGAUGAACACUUUAGGUGAUAGGCACUUAGAAAGAGGCAGUGUUCCCCUGAGCUGGUUAUCAGUAACAGACAUCUCACCUGGUCAGGAUUUAGCAAUCUGCAAAAGCUUGGACACGUCAGGUUUUAGUAACAUGAGGUAUUUAUCCUGGUAGUAGAGCAGCACUCAGAGACACUGUAGUCUGAAUUUGAAAAUAAACUUUGGUUAAUUCUCCACUUGUCCAGGAUGGGGUGUGGAAGCCUAUCAUGAAAUACGGAAAGAGCAGUUCAAGACUGUCAUGAUGAAGAGAGCUGUAUUAAAGAAAUAUUAGAUCAUGAAUUGGGUAGUCUUGCAGCUGCUUUCUUCUGUCAUUCCCUGCCCAGGAAUUUCUUACUAGUUCUUGGAAUCACUGGGGAACUGCGAAUCCUAAACUUAUGUUUAAGAGAGGUGUGCAUAGGUAGAAGGUCAUCCAUCUGAUAGGACUUAAUCUUUGUAGAUCCUUCUUCCCUUCGGGCUCUGAAAUUCAUGUGUGUAAAAUCUGUGAUCCAAAUAUGUUUUUGAAAACUGUUUGCAAUUAGAUGAGUGCUUCGCUGUUACUGAUACCAAAAUGAAUAUUCCACGCCACAUAUUAAAUGGAUAUUACCCUUUAGAUGGGGACACAUUCCUUUCACUUUAUUUACAUUAAUUCUUGUCUUUUUUUUUUCAGAAUUAUUUUACUUGAAAACACAUUCUUUUGAUUAUAAAGCCAUUGGAACUGUCUGCUAGUUAGAAAUGAUACGGAUCUUAUUAAGUGUUUUAAAUGGAGUCUUGGUUAAUUCAAUAGGGUAGAAUCAAAUCUGUGAGGGAAGGGUUUUUUUUACUUCUUCUUCUUUUUUUUUUUUUUUUUAAUCUAUGAGUGAAGCACUGAUAGCAAAAAGGCAGAAGUAUUUUUCAGCAUUGCAAGCCUCAGCCAACCUUCAGCCCAAAAAGCGUGACGUGGAACUGAGCGCCGUGCAGGACUGCAGAGCGCCGUGGAGAGACUCCGAAGAGCAGCAGCUCAAUGUGCAGAACACAGGCGGGAGGAAACAGGAAACCAUUCCCACAGCUGCAGCACUUGCUGUAUUCUGGUGGUAUUGCUUGGUUUCUGCAGUCCAGGUUCUCUAACCUCGUUCUAGUAAACAGUGAGGAAGGAGGAUAUAAGGGCUAUCUAUACCUGUGAUAUGACUUAGGCAGCUGUUGCAGGAGCUGAACAGAUUCCUAAAUAAGCCAUGUAGUAAGGACCACAACUGUAACUUGCCAAGGGCUGUAGGAAUGGGAGAACUUUGCCUGACUUUACAAGUGCUCUAGGAGACAUUUUGCCAAUCAUGAAUCAAAUUUCCCAUUGCCUUUUCUGUUUGCUUUUUCUUUGUUGUUUGGUUUUCCUUUCUAUGCCUUGUUGAGCUUUUUACAUUCCUAUUCUUAAUGGACUCCUGUGUACAAAAAGCAUAUUCCACUCCUUUCACCAGACCGUAGUAAACUCUGAGACAACUUUCCUUAUAAAUGCAAGAAAUAUUUCAUAUAUAUAUAUAUUUGUAUGUUAAAGCCAAUGUAGAGUAGCGAGAACAUAAAAAGUCUGACAGGAAAAGAGUGUAUGCUCAGCAGGAGCUUCACCUGGGCGCUUUGUUCACGUCAGUUUGCUGGAGACUUAGUGAUAUGGUUUCCCUAGAUGCAUGCAAAUAAAAUCUGUGAAGUCUUCGUUUGCUCUAACAAGAUCAAGUAUUUAGGGUUAGACUCUACUGCUGCUUUAAAAUUGAUAGUUUGAAUUAACUAUCAUUCUGCAGUGCCAAAUGAUGUGCAAGGAAGUUUUAAUUAUCAGCUUCACCCUUAGAAUAUUUGUAAUACACUAACAUACAUUUCUGUCCCUCCACUUUUUAUUACAAGUGAGAUUUAUUAAUUCCUUUUACAAGCUUGGGUGAUCCUUACAUCCCAAACCAUGCUGUAUUAACUUCUCUCCUCCUUAUGGUGGGGGCUUCAUCCCUUCCAACUUUUUUAACAAAUAAUUCACUUCUUUACAACUGACGGUCCUUUUCAGCCACAGAAACUGAAUGCUGAAAUAGGAAAUGUUUUCCAGUCUGCUGUUAAACAAAGAGAACUCUUCAUAAUGCAGACCAAAAAAGUCUGUCGAUAUGUGUAAUAGCUUUAUCCUCAAGAGGAGUGGAUUUGGGCGGCUUUGUUGCUGGCAGCUCUGGUGGGCACUGUCAAGAUUUAUAAAGAGGGACAUUUACAAGACGGAAGAUGCAGUGUUCUUCCAAGGCUGUUAGAACAAAAUAGAUCUGAAUCCCAUACAAAACAAAUGAACCGAAUAAUUUUAAUUAAUCAAAUCCUAUUUUUUUUUCUCUCAGUGUAAUCAUAUCUUUAAUCUUGAAUGCAUUGCUGUUAAAUAAGAAAUGUAGCAAAAUAUUCACCUCUUUUUUCAUUCUCUUGCGCAAACAAUGUAAUAUAGAUCUGUUAAAUCUGAAAGAAAAGGAUUUGCUCAUAUUUCAGUCACAGCAGUCAACCCACACGUUUGAAAAUGUGUAAUGAAGUAAGGGCAUAGUAAGAAAUCUUUUCUCCCUCUGUCCUAAAGAUAACUGCAUAUGUACUGGAACUUGAGUAAGCUCAAAAAACAUGAAUGCUGAUAAAUAAUCUAUAACUUCCCUUGCUUCCAGGGAGAAAUGGCCUUCGCCUGCAAAUCUCUGGAUUUGGCAACUAUACCUAAUUCAUUUUAAACUCCCACUGACAUCAGCAAAAAUUACCCAAUUAGGGAUGCAGGAUCGGAUCUAAGAUGGUAGCAUAUUAAAAUGCUAUUAUAAAUUCAAAAGAUGCUACACAAAGUAUAAAGCAUUCAAGGCAGUUGAACAGUUCUCAGCGUGCAUAUUCAAAAUGCUAAACAAUAGCAGCUAUUGCAUGUGUGACCAUCAGGAAACACAGCUGUGCUUCUUUGUGUUACAAUUAAUUACUUCCGUUGUAUAUAAAAUUGAAAGUAUUGGUACUCUGGGGCGGAAGAAGGAUAUCCUGAUACACUGCUCCUAUUUCCUUAGGAAGGACUAUGACUGAACCUUUCACCAUUAAUAAAGUUGCAAUGACUUUUCCUGCGAUGAAUAAAGGAAGGGUAAAUUUUGUGGUUAAUUAUAAUGCUAAUGGUACUUUUUCUCUGCAUUUUUACACUCCUACAUUUAUAUCUCAUUUUAGUGUUUUCGCAUGCCAUCUUUGAUAACAAUUGCUCACUUCUAAGUAGUUGAACUUAAUGAAAAGUCUAAAGUAAAUAUUUGGCUUAAAGAUUGUUCUAUUUUUUUUUUUUUUUUUAAUGAUAUUGGAUCAGAGGAAAGCAUAAAACUUCACCACUGUUCUUUAGCAGGCCGAGUAAAAUCUUCUUACCUUAGACAACAGACAACAGCUUCUGUGACUGUUCAGGAAACCAGUGAAGCCUCCAUCAGCCAACAGCAACUGGCAGAAUUUAAGAUUCACAAUUAGGGGAAAAAGCAACGCCAAAGCCCAUAGUCUGGAAAUCACCAUUUUCUUCAGAGCAAAUCAUAGUCUCUCUCCUAUUAAGAACCUCUUAACGCAACACUUGUCAAGCUGUAUUGCACCGUGUGUUUCUCUAAUGAACUUUGCUCUGUUCACUUUUUGCACCCUAUUAUCUGGCAGAGUGUUAUACCUCUAGCGCUUCCCCUUCGUACCGCUCAGCUCCCCAGGGAUCACGGUACAACUGUCUAGUGCAAAGUUCAAAGGUCAGCACAGGCAAUCUGGAAAAAGAGCAGUUGAAAACUAACAGCAAUCCGUGGACGUUCUGUUCAUUCUUCUGAAUUGUGUUUUGCCUUACGCACGCUGUAAACAAAUCAGGGCUGUAAAAUAAAAUCAAAGUUCACACGUUUGCAGUUCUUGAUACUGUACUUUGUAAGCCAUCUAAAGCCAAGUUUGUCCAUUUAUUAUCUAAAUCCUUAAUUAUGUUUAUUAUCUAACUUCUUAAUUAUGUUUAAUAUAAUUAGUUGUAUCUUUAAAAAUACUGCAUGCCUGAGGGGUGUGGAUUAGGAAUGCACAAAAUGGCUGUUUUAAUAAGUCACGCUGCUAUACGAAGAUACUCUUUCAUUUGGAAGUACUUUUUUGGCACUAGAGUUCAAUGAGAGCAUUUAAAACACUUUGUAUAUUAAAGUCACUUCUGCUAAGAAACGGAGCAACACCCACCAGAACCCACGCAAUCAAACUUCGUUCACAGAUUCAUCCACGUAACCCAAGACAGAAUUUACCUAUUCCUUGUAAACUUGCUAUAAACAGCAUUUGUUGACACGAUAAGGUCUCUGAGUAUACAAGUCUUGCUAAGUUACAACAUGUACUGUUAGCACACUACAUCUCUUGAGCGUACUAACGUUUAAAACAGCACAAUUCAGUUAAUGAAACAUUCAAGACUGAUACGCAGUGAGGUUGAAACCAAUGCUUUUAAUUUUAUUUUCAGGUUCGAAGUAGAGAAUACAAGCUUGUGUAUGCUGUCAGCUGUUCACAUGCCAUAUUAACAAAUAUGUCUGAAUCGUAAAGCUUUAAAUGUAUUUGUACAUUCGUUUUAUUACUAGACUGUUUUAUCCAUGUUGGCACAGGUAAUCCAUGCAAGGUACAGUUACUCACACCUCAUAAACCAUGCUGCAUUCUGAUCUGAACUAAGAACUUCAGAAAAAUAUGUAUCUAAAAGCAAGGGCACUUGUGGCAUCAAGUCAACAUGUAAAUAUAUUAUAAAACCUAGACUUCUAUGAUCACCGCAGACAAGAAAUCACUCAGUUUCAAAUUCGGAUGUUUGUAAAUGCUAAACAACUUAAUAUCUGCUACCUGGAGACAAGUAUUACAAAUAAACAUCAGCAUACCCAGCAUUAGACACUAAUGAGUGUGUUCAGUGCUGUGGAUGUUCACAUUAUUAAACAUAAAUAUGUCUUUAAGGAAACAUUUCACCCAAAGUACUGACCACUGAAGGACCAAAGUAAAAUACUUUUUCCUCGUUUAAAAUUGCAAUGUGUGAAUGCAGUGCAGUACAAAUUAACUUAGAAAAAAUAAGUCAGGUCGAUGGUUUUCUUUUCAGAUAAUAAAAGCAAAGCCUUCUUUGGUAAUCUUUACUCCCUUAUGCAAAAAGAGCAGAAAAAGAGAAAAAGCAUUAAGGUCAUUUUUGAAGCCUUUGGCUGAAAAGAUGCUGAACACCUUAUUAGAUAAAAUACCGGUAUUCCUAUUUGGUCAUUCAGAGGUACAGGAUCUUUGUUUUAUUACGUAAAGUCCCACGUUAAUUAAUAUAAAUAUUUAGGAACUUAUGACUUAUCCCAGGCAUCUGUUAC
This 8848-nucleotide long non-coding RNA is filed under the name Gallus gallus (chicken). The record is from RNAcentral. Lineage: Eukaryota; Metazoa; Chordata; Aves; Galliformes; Phasianidae.